CUCAUUUUUCUCUUGUCCAUGUUUUUUUAUUGCAGAUUCAGUUAGAAGGAAGCUGCAUUUCCACUUGGCUGUUGUAAAAGCAAGUUCCAGCUGUUUUUGUCCAGUGCUGAGUGCUGGCAGUGAGUUUCCAAUCAAGAGGAAUUUUAGUCUCCCAGCCUAUGGCACCAUAAGCAGGAAUCAGUGAAACCAGGAGAUCCUGGAGAUCGUGCUGCGGUCAACAUGAACCAGCCCCACCACAGCAGAGCAUCCAGAUCCUUUACUGCUCAAAAGGUGCAUGUAGGCUCGGCCAUCAUCGGACUGGUUUGAACACUCUGACAUCAAUAAAUUUCUUCACUCGCUUCUCCGUUUCAAUUUCCAUCCGACAAUGCCUGACUAAAAAAAAAGAUAACAUAUGUCAUCCAACAGUGUUUGCCAUAAUUAAACUCUCCAUGAACAUUUCUUUAAACAUGAUAAUGUGCACCUUCUUUCUAAUUUGGCCAUUAUUCAGGCUUGUCAACUUGCAGUUAUUCAGAGCUUAUCUCCCGUGUGCACGAAAAGCCAUAUUUGUCAUGGUGGGUUUGGUGUCCUCUGAGCUGGUGUGAAGCGUGUGCCGAUGACUCUCUUCGAUACAGAUGUUCCGUGCUGUCAAGACUCUCACUCUACGCAAUUCCUCACUGAAAGGACACACUGUCA
This 672-nucleotide long non-coding RNA is filed under the name Scleropages formosus (Asian bonytongue). RNAcentral's name for it is "lncRNA (ENSSFOG00015029557.1)". Lineage: Eukaryota; Metazoa; Chordata; Actinopteri; Osteoglossiformes; Osteoglossidae. The record is from RNAcentral.